This 517-nucleotide ribosomal RNA is filed under the name Staphylococcus gallinarum. RNAcentral describes it as "bacterial SSU rRNA". It matches the Rfam family "Bacterial small subunit ribosomal RNA", at positions 88 to 592 of the family's 1533-position model. The record is from RNAcentral. Lineage: Bacteria; Bacillati; Bacillota; Bacilli; Caryophanales; Staphylococcaceae.
GACGUUAGCGGCGGACGGGUGAGUAACACGUGGGUAACCUACCUAUAAGACUGGAAUAACUCCGGGAAACCGGGGCUAAUGCCGGAUAACAUAUAGAACCGCAUGGUUCUAUAGUGAAAGAUGGUUUUGCUAUCACUUAUAGAUGGACCCGCGCCGUAUUAGCUAGUUGGUAAGGUAAUGGCUUACCAAGGCGACGAUACGUAGCCGACCUGAGAGGGUGAUCGGCCACACUGGAACUGAGACACGGUCCAGACUCCUACGGGAGGCAGCAGUAGGGAAUCUUCCGCAAUGGGCGAAAGCCUGACGGAGCAACGCCGCGUGAGUGAUGAAGGGUUUCGGCUCGUAAAACUCUGUUAUUAGGGAAGAACAUAUGUGUAAGUAACUGUGCACAUCUUGACGGUACCUAAUCAGAAAGCCACGGCUAACUACGUGCCAGCAGCCGCGGUAAUACGUAGGUGGCAAGCGUUAUCCGGAAUUAUUGGGCGUAAAGCGCGCGUAGGCGGUUUCUUAAGUCUGA